GAUGAACGCUGGCGGCGUGCCUAAUACAUGCAAGUCGAGCGAACAGAUGAGGAGCUUGCUCCUCUGACGUUAGCGGCGGACGGGUGAGUAACACGUGGAUAACCUACCUAUAAGAUUGGGAUAACUUCGGGAAACCGGAGCUAAUACCGGAUAAUAUAUUGAACCGCAUGGUUCAAUAGUGAAAGACGGUUUUGCUGUCACUUAUAGAUGGAUCCGCGCCGCAUUAGCUAGUUGGUAAGGUAACGGCUUACCAAGGCAACGAUGCGUAGCCGACCUGAGAGGGUGAUCGGCCACACUGGAACUGAGACACGGUCCAGACUCCUACGGGAGGCAGCAGUAGGGAAUCUUCCGCAAUGGGCGAAAGCUUGACGGAGCAACGCCGCGUGAGUGAUGAAGGUCUUCGGAUCGUAAAACUCUGUUAUUAGGGAAGAACAAAUGUGUAAGUAACUAUGCACGUCUUGACGGUACCUAAUCAGAAAGCCACGGCUAACUACGUG
This 497-nucleotide ribosomal RNA is filed under the name uncultured bacterium. Its description in RNAcentral is "partial 16S ribosomal RNA". It matches the Rfam family "Bacterial small subunit ribosomal RNA", at positions 28 to 507 of the family's 1533-position model. The record is from RNAcentral.